UGCAAGUCGAGGGGUAUUGGUAUUCGGACCAAGAGACCGGCGCACGGGUGCGUAACGCGUAUGCAAUCUACCUUUUACAGGGGAAUAGCCCAGAGAAAUUUGGAUUAAUGCCCCAUAGUAUAUAUCAUUCGCAUGUUUGAUAUAUUAAAGUUCCAACGGUAAAAGAUGAGCAUGCGUCCCAUUAGUUAGUUGGUAAGGUAACGGCUUACCAAGACAAUGAUGGGUAGGGGUCCUGAGAGGGAGAUCCCCCACACUGGUACUGAGACACGGACCAGACUCCUACGGGAGGCAGCAGUGAGGAAUAUUGGACAAUGGGCGCAAGCCUGAUCCAGCCAUGCCGCGUGCAGGAAGACGGUCCUAUGGAUUGUAAACUGCUUUUGUACGGGAAGAAACACUCCGACGUGCCGGAGCUUGACGGUACCGUAAGAAUAAGGAUCGGCUAACUCCGUGCCAGCAGCCGCGGUAAUACGGAGGAUCCAAGCGUUAUCCGGAAUCAUUGGGUUUAAAGGGUCCGUAGGCGGUUUAAUAAGUCAGUGGUGAAAUCUGGUCGCUCAACGAUCAAACGGCCAUUGAUACUGUUAGACUUGAAUUAUUAGGAAGUAACUAGAAUAUGUAGUGUAGCGGUGAAAUGCUUAGAUAUUACAUGGAAUACCAAUUGCGAAGGCAGGUUACUACUAAUGGAUUGACGCUGAUGGACGGAAGCGUGGGGAGCGAACAGGAUUAGAUACCCUGGUAGUCCA
RNAcentral lists this ribosomal RNA (740 nucleotides) under uncultured bacterium. RNAcentral describes it as "bacterial SSU rRNA". It matches the Rfam family "Bacterial small subunit ribosomal RNA", at positions 56 to 797 of the family's 1533-position model. The record is from RNAcentral.